GAAGUGCGAUAAGUAAUGUGAAGUGCAGAGCAUGUGAGUCAUCGAAACCUUGAACGCAGAACAUCCUGGGGUCUCCCCAGGAUUCACCUAGUUGAGUAUCGAUUAAAAACUAUAACACUCUCCCUGCGGGGAGGUUCUGAGAGUGCGCUUUUUAGGAAGUGCUCUCUUUAAAUUCAUUUGGAAGUAGGAUUCUUUGUAUUAGUCUACUGUUCUAUAUGGACUUUGUGAUUAGUUAUGAGUCUUCUAUGUAACAAAACGCAAAAAAAGUAGGGAGAAAGUCCCUAUCAACCCAAUUGGAUCUCAACUAGGUGCGAUUACCCGCUGAAUUUAA
This 331-nucleotide unclassified non-coding RNA is filed under the name uncultured fungus. Its description in RNAcentral is "sequence contains ITS1". The stretch from base 1 to 101 matches the Rfam family "5.8S ribosomal RNA", at positions 50 to 154 of the family's 154-position model. The record is from RNAcentral. Lineage: Eukaryota; Fungi.